GGUAGUAAAAGUCGUAACAAGGUUUCCGUAGGUGAACCUGCGGAAGGAUCAUUAUUGUAUAACCGAGGUGCGAGGGCUGUCGCUGACCCGAAAGGUCGUGCACGCCCGAGUGCCCUCACACACAUCCAUCUCACCCCUAUGUGCACCACCGCGUGGGUCCCCCUUUGGCUUGUUCGGAGGGGGGCUUACGUUUUCACACAAACUUUGUAUGCAGUGUAGAAUGUAUUUUUUGUUUUUGCGAUCACGCAAUCAAUACAACUUUCAACAACGGAUCUCUUGGCUCUC
RNAcentral lists this unclassified non-coding RNA (285 nucleotides) under plant metagenome. Its description in RNAcentral is "partial contains small subunit ribosomal RNA, internal transcribed spacer 1, and 5.8S ribosomal RNA". The stretch from base 1 to 54 matches the Rfam family "Eukaryotic small subunit ribosomal RNA", at positions 1778 to 1831 of the family's 1831-position model. The record is from RNAcentral.